UGAUGGUUGAAAUAUGAUGAGUAUGUAAAAUGUUGAUUAAGAUGAAAAACAAUAAGAUCCAACUCUGAUUUCAUCAAAGA
RNAcentral lists this small nucleolar RNA (80 nucleotides) under Microtus ochrogaster (prairie vole). RNAcentral describes it as "Small nucleolar RNA SNORD19B (ENSMOCG00000010368.1)". It matches the Rfam family "Small nucleolar RNA SNORD19B". The record is from Rfam by way of RNAcentral. Lineage: Eukaryota; Metazoa; Chordata; Mammalia; Rodentia; Cricetidae.